This 565-nucleotide ribosomal RNA is filed under the name uncultured bacterium. Its description in RNAcentral is "bacterial SSU rRNA". It matches the Rfam family "Bacterial small subunit ribosomal RNA", at positions 358 to 916 of the family's 1533-position model. The record is from RNAcentral.
GGAAUUUUGGACAAUGGACGCAAGUCUGAUCCAGCCAUUCCGCGUGCAGGAUGAAGGCCCUCGGGUUGUAAACUGCUUUUGUACGGAACGAAAAGGUUUCUAUUAAUACUAGGAGCUCAUGACGGUACCGUAAGAAUAAGCACCGGCUAACUACGUGCCAGCAGCCGCGGUAAUACGUAGGGUGCAAGCGUUAAUCGGAAUUACUGGGCGUAAAGCGUGCGCAGGCGGUUAUGUAAGACAGAGGUGAAAUCCCCGGGCUCAACCUGGGAACCGCCUUUGUGACUGCAUAGCUAGAGUACGGUAGAGGGGGAUGGAAUUCCGCGUGUAGCAGUGAAAUGCGUAGAUAUGCGGAGGAACACCGAUGGCGAAGGCAAUCCCCUGGACCUGUACUGACGCUCAUGCACGAAAGCGUGGGGAGCAAACAGGAUUAGAUACCCUGGUAGUCCACGCCCUAAACGAUGUCAACUGGUUGUUGGGUCUUAACUGACUCAGUAACGAAGCUAACGCGUGAAGUUGACCGCCUGGGGAGUACGGCCGCAAGGUUGAAACUCAAAUGAAUUGACGG